This 219-nucleotide ribosomal RNA is filed under the name uncultured bacterium. RNAcentral describes it as "partial 16S ribosomal RNA". It matches the Rfam family "Bacterial small subunit ribosomal RNA", at positions 524 to 741 of the family's 1533-position model. The record is from RNAcentral.
UACGUAGGGUGCAAGCGUUGUCCGGAAUUAUUGGGCGUAAAGAGCUCGUAGGCGGUCUGUCGCGUCUGCUGUGAAAACUCGGGGCUUAACCCCGGGCCUGCAGUGGGUACGGGCAGACUAGAGUGCGGUAGGGGAGACUGGAAUUCCUGGUGUAGCGGUGAAAUGCGCAGAUAUCAGGAGGAACACCGGUGGCGGAAGGCGGGUCUCUGGGCCGUAACU